RNAcentral lists this ribosomal RNA (496 nucleotides) under uncultured bacterium. RNAcentral's name for it is "partial 16S ribosomal RNA". It matches the Rfam family "Bacterial small subunit ribosomal RNA", at positions 28 to 507 of the family's 1533-position model. The record is from RNAcentral.
GAUGAACGCUGGCGGCGUGCCUAAUACAUGCAAGUCGAGCGAACGGACGAGAAGCUUGCUUCUCUGAUGUUAGCGGCGGACGGUGAGUAACACGUGGAUAACCUACCUAUAAGACUGGGAUAACUUCGGGAAACCGUAGCUAAUACCGGAUAAUAUUUUGAACCGCAUGGUUCAAAAGUGAAAGACGGUCUUGCUGUCACUUAUAGAUGGAUCCGCGCUGCAUUAGCUAGUUGGUAAGGUAACGGCUUACCAAGGCAACGAUGCAUAGCCGACCUGAGAGGGUGAUCGGCCACACUGGAACUGAGACACGGUCCAGACUCCUACGGGAGGCAGCAGUAGGGAAUCUUCCGCAAUGGGCGAAAGCCUGACGGAGCAACGCCGCGUGAGUGAUGAAGGUCUUCGGAUCGUAAAACUCUGUUAUUAGGGAAGAACAUAUGUGUAAGUAACUGUGCACAUCUUGACGGUACCUAAUCAGAAAGCCACGGCUAACUACGUG